RNAcentral lists this ribosomal RNA (253 nucleotides) under uncultured bacterium. RNAcentral describes it as "partial 16S ribosomal RNA". It matches the Rfam family "Bacterial small subunit ribosomal RNA", at positions 524 to 776 of the family's 1533-position model. The record is from RNAcentral.
UACGAAGGGGGCAAGCGUUAUCCGGAUUUACUGGGUUUAAAGGGUGCGUAGGAGGGCAGGUAAGUCAGUGGUGAAAUCCCCAAGCUUAACUUGGGAACUGCCAUUGAUACUAUCUGUCUUGAAUACCGUGGAGAUGAGCGGAAUAUGUCAUGUAGCGGUGAAAUGCUUAGAUAUGACAUAGAACACCAAUUGCGAAGGCAGCUCGUUACACGAAUAUUGACUCUGAGGCACGAAAGCGUGGGGAUCAAACAGG